CCUACGGGAUGCAGCAGUGAGGAAUAUUGGUCAAUGGACGAGAGUCUGAACCAGCCAAGUAGCGUGAAGGAUGACUGCACUAUGGAUUGUAAACUUCUUUUAUAUGGGAAUAAAAUGUUCCACGUGUGGGCUUUUGUAUGUACCAUAUGAAUAAGGAUCGGCUAACUCCGUGCCAGCAGCCGCGGUAAUACGGAGGAUCCGAGCGUUAUCCGGAUUUAUUGGGUUUAAAGGGAGCGUAGGUGGAUUGGUAAGUCAGUUGUGAAAGUUUGCGGCUCAACCGUAAAAUUGCAGUUGAAACUGGCAGUCUUGAGUACAGGAGAGGUGGGCGGAAUUCGUGGUGUAGCGGUGAAAUGCUUAGAUAUCACGAAGAACUCCGAUUGCGAAGGCAGCUCACUGGACUGCAACUGACACUGAGGCUCGAAAGUGUGGGUAUCAAACAGGAUUAGAUACCCUGGUAGUC
This 460-nucleotide ribosomal RNA is filed under the name uncultured bacterium. RNAcentral describes it as "partial 16S ribosomal RNA". It matches the Rfam family "Bacterial small subunit ribosomal RNA", at positions 338 to 795 of the family's 1533-position model. The record is from RNAcentral.